Molecule: ribosomal RNA, 253 nt
Filed under: uncultured bacterium
Lineage: Bacteria
Description: partial 16S ribosomal RNA
Rfam family: Bacterial small subunit ribosomal RNA
Source: RNAcentral
UACGAAGGGGGCUAGCGUUGCUCGGAAUCACUGGGCGUAAAGGGUGCGUAGGCGGGGCUUUAAGUCAGGGGUGAAAUCCUGGAGCUCAACUCCAGAACUGCCUUUGAUACUGAGGAUCUUGAGUCCGGGAGAGGUGAGUGGAACUGCGAGUGUAGAGGUGAAAUUCGUAGAUAUUCGCAAGAACACCAGUGGCGAAGGCGACUCACUGGCCCGGUACUGACGCUGAGGCACGAAAGCGUGGGGAGCAAACAGG